AACGAACGCUGGCGGCAUGCCUAACACAUGCAAGUCGAACGAGACCUUCGGGUCUAGUGGCGCACGGGUGCGUAACGCGUGGGAACCUGCCCUUAGGUUCGGAACAACUCCCCGAAAGGGGUGCUAAUACCGGAUAAUGUCUUCGGACCAAAGAUUUAUCGCCUUUGGAUGGGCCCGCGUUGGAUUAGCUAGUUGGUAGGGUAAAAGCCUACCAAGGCGACGAUCCAUAGCUGGUCUGAGAGGAUGAUCAGCCACACUGGGACUGAGACACGGCCCAGACUCCUACGGGAAGCAGCAGUGGGGAAUAUUGGACAAUGGGCGAAAGCCUGAUCCAGCAAUGCCGCGUGAGUGAUGAAGGCCUUAGGGUUGUAAAGCUCUUUUACCCGGGAUGAUAAUGUCAGUACCGGGAGAAUAAGCUCCGGCUAACUCCGUG
RNAcentral lists this ribosomal RNA (433 nucleotides) under uncultured bacterium. RNAcentral's name for it is "partial 16S ribosomal RNA". It matches the Rfam family "Bacterial small subunit ribosomal RNA", at positions 29 to 507 of the family's 1533-position model. The record is from RNAcentral.